Molecule: long non-coding RNA, 456 nt
Filed under: Ananas comosus (pineapple)
Lineage: Eukaryota; Viridiplantae; Streptophyta; Magnoliopsida; Poales; Bromeliaceae
Description: long non-coding RNA (ACOM_LNC026265)
Source: RNAcentral
AAACAGCUCUUUAUCUAUCUUUUCUAAGUGCACUACCAACAACAACAACAAAAGGCUUAAUUUUACACAGAUCUCUACAAACGUAAUGAAUUAUAAAUAUAUCUUUACAAAGUUCAACUUUCAUAUAUUGUUCGUGCAAAAGUCCUAAUGUUUUGAAAUAUAUUCCUGCUGUUAGAAUCUGUUAGAAAAAUUUAGCUGACCAUAUCUUAAAUACUUAACCUUGGCUAGUUUUUAAUAUUUUUAUCUCUUUUAUAUUAUAUUGUUAUGGCUUUUGAAAAUACAUAUUUGUGAUGAAAAAAAUUAGAAAUAUAAACAGUUCUCUAACCGUUCUUUAAGAUAACAAUUCAAAGGAACAUAUUUGAAAAUAUUAUAACUUUUGUAGGAAUAAUAGAUGAAAGUUAAAUUUUAUAAGAAUAUACUUAUCAUUCACUAUGUUUGUAGAGAUUUGUAUGAAAU